AAUACAUCAAUGCACUUGGGAAGAAAAUAAAAUAAUCUUACCCAUCCAAGGAAAACUUAUUUUAGAAAAUAUACUCAAACAUAUUAAGAAAGAGUGUGUGCGCGCGCGCGCGUGUGCGCGUGCGUGCGUGCGUGCGUACGUGUGUGUGAAAAUAUGCGAGGAUAAUUAUUCAGUUGAUCCAUUUGGGGCUUUCCAUAGACAAUUUUCAUCCUAUUAUUUAAGUUAUAUUUAAAUUUUAGCAAGUAUUACUAAACUUAGGAUUAAAAUUGUGUUCUCCUCUGCUUAUUUUCUUCUAUAUCAUCCACAUCAUUCAUCUUCGAUCUAUUAUUCAAAGUUAAGGAUAGGGCUGGCAUAAGUUUUUGGUCGAAACUGGAAAAAACGACCGAACUGAAUUUUUUAAAUUUUUUAUUUUGGUUUUUUGUUUAAAUCAGUCGGUUUUGGUUUUUAGUUUUAAAAUUUCAGUAUAUCGGUUCAGUUUUUGGUUUUUAUAUUUUUUAUUUCGUUUAACCGAAAAAUCUAAUUUAUACACUACAUAUUUACUACAUUAUAUAUUUAACUUUUAAGAGUUAAUUGUUUGUCUCAUUAUUUGUAAGUGUUAAGUAGUAACCCAACAAAGCCCAAUAUCCCUAAAUCUUUAUUCACCCAAAAUCCCUUAACCUAUUCAGAAUUCAGUCAUUUCACAUUUCACCCAACUGCGUUGCCUUCUGUGACUUGUGAGAGUGAGAAUGUGACUGCGUAAGGCGUUAGUAAAGACUGAAGAACAGUCGGCAGCCGCAAGUCCGCGACUGCGCGAGGCAGCGAUCCAUCGUCCAUCGACCUGAACUCCUGAAGGAUGACAGAAAUCAAAAGUAAGAUAAGUGAAAGUGGGGCUUGAAAUGAAACCAUAGAUUACAUUCCAUCUUCCAAUGAAGUUGAAACUGACAUUGAACCUUCAAAAAAAGAAAAGCCAUGGAACCUAGGGCUGCUUGUUGAGAAAUACGUCGAUUAAGAUGGAGCUAUUAGAGAAAAAUGUAAUUACUGUGAGAAAACAUAUGAUGCUGCUACAAAAAGUAAUGGUACUUCGACUAUGAAUAAUCAUAUAACUAACAAGAAGUGUCCUAACUUUCCCUCUGCUGUUGAUUAUGGUCAGAAAUUAAUAAAAUUUUUACCAUCUUCAAAGGGAGAAAAGAAGGGCUGAUUAACACUUGGAAAUUUGAUCAAGCACAAAGUAGAAAAGCUUUAGUUCUAAUGAUAAUUGUUGAUGAGUUUCCAUUUAGUAUUGUUGAGAAGGAAGGUCUUAGGAAUUUCAUGAAAGUUAUAGUGCCACAAUUUCAUAAUCCUUCUCAUAGAAAUUUGACAAGAAAUUGUAAUGAACUUUAUGGUGAAGAAAAAAAACUCAUGAAGAAGUGUUUCAAAGAAGCACGUCCAAAAAUUUGUCUUACGACAAAUACUUGGACGUCGAUUCAAAGAAUCAAUGACAUGUGUCUAACAGCUCACUUUAUAGAUAGAAAUUGGAAUUUGCAUAAAAGAAUCAUAAAUUUUUGUCCUAUUUCUAGUCAUAAAGGUGAUGAUAUGGUAGCUUCCAUUACUGCUUGUUAGCUUGACUGGGGUUUGGAUAAUGUGUUUACCAUAAUCGUUGAUAAUGCUAGUUCCAAUAGUGUUAAUGUUAAAGGAAUAUCUAAGCAACUCACUAAUUGGGGAACCAACAUAAUGAAGGGUCAACAUCUUCAUGUGAGGAGCGUGGUGCAUAUUCUUAAUCUUAUUGUUCAAGAUGGAUUGAAGGAAGUUGGUCAAUCAAUCAACGAGUGAGACAAUCCGUGAAAUACAUUAGACAAUCUCCGGCAAGAAUUAAAAAAUUUAAAGAAUGUUGUGAAUCCCAUUGAUAACUUGUAAGAAAUCAUUAUGUUUAGAUGUUCCCACCAGGUGGAACGCUACAUACUUGAUGCUUGAUACUGCACAACACUUUGAACUUGCAUUUGAAAGAUAUAAUUUUUAUAAUAUUGGGCUUCUUGAUUAUCUCCGUACCCAUGAUUGUGAAGAUGGAACAAAAGCAGGUGCCCUCACUAGUUUUGAUUGGGAAAAUGUGAGUUCGAUGACUAAGUUUCUUGAAAUAUUUUAUACACUUACUUUGAAGGUCUCUGGUUCAAAGUAUCACCUUCUGGAAAUUGUUGAGCUUGAUCUUAUUUUGAAAGAGAUGACAUAAAAUGAAGAUUCUAAUUUGAAGAAUAUGGCAUAAAGUAUGAGAGACAAAAUUCAAAAAAUAUUGGGGUGAACCAGAUAACAUGAACAAAGUGAUUUUUAUAUCAGCUGCGUUGGAUCCUUGAAACAAGCUUAAUUAUGUUCUUUUUGCAAUUGGUGAUAUUUUUUGAAAAGAAAUUGGGGAGCUACUUGCUGAUGCAGUGGAUAAAUAUAUGAAAGUUUUGUUUGAUCAUUAUCAUCAAAAGUCUCUUUAUUUUCAUCAUCUUCAUCUGGGAACUCAUCUAGUAUAUCUAGUGUGAGUGGUGAUAACAGCUUUCAAAAAAGAUGAUCAAUGAGAACGAAAAAAGAAUUUGUGAGGCAAAAAGCAGUUAGUGGAAGUUCAAGUAGUAAAUCAGAGUUGGGUAGAUAUCUUGUUGAAGAUGUUGAGCCAGAGACUGGUGAUUUUGAUAUAUUAAAGUGGUGGAAAUUUAAUGAGCCAAGAUUUCCUAUUCUUGCUUAGAUGUCUCGUGACGUAUUAGUCAUUCCUAUUUCAAGUGUCGCAUCUGAAUGCGCAUUUAGCACAGAAGGUCGUAUUCUUGAUGCUUUUAGGAGUUCAUUGACUCCUAAACUAGUGCAAGCUCUUAUUUUCUUCAAGAUUGGUCUACAAGUGAACCAAUUUCAAUUAAUGUUGAGGAAGAUCUAGAGUAUCUUAAGCUACUUGAACUUGAUAUGGAUCAUAGUGGAAAUGAACCUCGUAUUGUGGAUGUGUAGUUAUAACUAUCAAGCAGUAAGAAAAUUUUAAUUUAAAAUCUUUUUCUAUUAGCAUUCAACACUUGUUUUUCUUUUUUUCCGUUGAGUUUGUUUAAUUUCUAUCAUAUAUCUAAAGAGUUUCAUUUCUCUCAGGCAUAUUUAUAGUAUGGAUGCUAUUAUUGGUGAACUGAUCGAGUUGGAAUCCUGUUGUUGUUAGACUGCAAUGAAAUGCACACAAGGAAUGCCGACUUUCUUCUGAUAGAGUUGAACUGCAGUGUUGUUGUCACGUUGUUGAUUCUUAUUUUGUCUUGUUGGUUCUUGUUUUGACUGUUAUUGAUGUAUAAUGCUCUUGAUUUCUUAGUUUUUUGUUGAAUCUUGAAUACUCUUGGUUUCUUAGAUUUUUGUUAAUGUCUUGAU
Molecule: long non-coding RNA, 3324 nt
Organism: Solanum lycopersicum (tomato)
Lineage: Eukaryota; Viridiplantae; Streptophyta; Magnoliopsida; Solanales; Solanaceae
Source: RefSeq, a predicted model, not a curated record